Pelmatolapia mariae (spotted tilapia) is the source of this 1129-nucleotide long non-coding RNA. RefSeq lists it as uncharacterized. The record is from RefSeq and is a predicted model, not a curated record. NCBI's taxonomy places the organism in Eukaryota, Metazoa, Chordata, Actinopteri, Cichliformes, Cichlidae. The transcript has 8 exons.
GAGGAGAGACCCGAGGCGGCCGCCGGUCUGAGUGUCAGGUGAACUGAACUUCAGGACAGUUAGCAUGCAGUCUGGAGCAGCCAGGGAUCGACCCAAAAACCAUCUGAUUAGUAGAUGACCUGCUCCACCUCCUGAGCCACAGCCGCCCCUUUUAGAGGUAAAGAAUCAAUUAGAAAGAGCUGGCGUCAUGUUGUGGAAGCUGCCAUCUUGCCCCACCAUCAUACGCUGGCUGAGAUGGGCAUCGCUGCUCCGCCUUUUCAUGUUUUAUGCAUUACGCUGACGGACGGAUGGAUGGACAAUGAAUGCUUUCUCGUCCUUCUUGUCAUGCACCAUGGAAGUGUCUGAGGGGCUUUUCCACUUGGAAUCGGGAUACUGUGUCCACACUUCAGAGGUGGAGUUUCCAGUAUCUCACCUGGGCCUCAUCUGCAAACAAUCAGCAGGAGGGCUUCUUAAACCAGCGCUGCCUGCUACUCCUCGCCAGUUUGUUCUGCCAUCUCCAGUGCUUCUCCAGUGGGACUGAAGCCAUCCAUCCCACCAGCCAGCGGCCCUUCGGGUGAGAGGAAGGGCCCCGUCGUCAUGGCGCCUGUCAACGUGGAGCCAGCCGGGCGAGUUUGUCCUAGAAAGCUUAUUUGCCAUCUUCACCUUGCUCUCUGAACGCAAGAGCUGUAUCAUCAUGGCUGAACCACUGGAGAAGCCGCUAAACAAAUCUCUGCAGAGGAGAAGAGCCACAGUUUGACCAGCUGAUCAGCUCUAUGAGUUCUCUUGCUGGGUACUGCCUGCCAUCCAUCCUGAAGACUCUGUUCGACUGGUACAAGAGGCAAAAUGGCCUGGAGGACGAGUCCCAUGAACAUCGACCCGGGGCCAAGUCAAAAAAGAGUCUCUGUUCUCCUCCUGACCUACCUGACUCUGGAGUAGUUCCUCGUCAUCGUUUUCCCUUUUAGCAAUUUGCGCCCAGGCAAACUUCAGACAGGGGUAAGUUGCACUAGUCAUAAUAAUGUGCCUGAUGAAGGUCAUCCAACUGUUGUCUUUGUCCACAAACUAAUUAUCGCUCUUAUUUUGAAGAAAGACUGGGUUUGUGCUGCUGGAAUAUCAUCUUUAGGUUGGUGUUUAAGUGGAUCAGAAAGUGUGG